This 1133-nucleotide long non-coding RNA is filed under the name Carassius auratus (goldfish). RNAcentral's name for it is "lncRNA (ENSCARG00000053223.1)". Lineage: Eukaryota; Metazoa; Chordata; Actinopteri; Cypriniformes; Cyprinidae. The record is from RNAcentral.
ACUGUCCAUCGGAAUCAGCUGAAGGUGUCAGGUGCGAAGUUCACGCCACGGAACUUCGACCAGAAUAGUUCUGCGCAUGCGCAGGUCAGCGCGGCCUAAUCACUGUGUUUUAUAACAAACAUCAGUGGAAGUUGCACAUAAUGACCACAAGACGUGUACCUGUUUAUCAGCAAAUGUACAUACACAUUGUAUGCAUUGUGAAAUUGCUAUUUGUUUUGUUUUAUAACUUUAAGAAGAGGUUUAAAUGCUAACUUUGUACCCCACUGUCAGGAUGAUUGUGAAUAUUAUGCACCGCUCCUAUGUAGUAACUAUUUGAAAGUUACAUUACAUGUUUAACAUAUCAGCUUGGACUCCUAUACACUGUUCCUUAAUUAACAUCUUGAUUACACGUGUGAAUCAGGUGUUACAACUUGCCUUUUAAAGUAGGACAGUGGGUAAAUACAGUACAGUCAGAAAGUUAGGAAACAGUACAGGGGUUGAAGACCCCAGAAAUUGUCACUUAAGUUUUAAUUGACCAUGAAACAUCACCUCCUGCAACUUGCAAUUUCAUUUUACUCAAAUUUUAUUUUGCAAUUGUAUGUAUUGUAAUACACUUUUUUCAUUAGUCAAGAAUUAGUGCCUUGCAUUUAUUAAGGUAUUUUUGUCUUGUGUUAUCCUUGUGUGGAUUGGAUGUGCUCAUGCGCUGAACUUUGAAUGACAAGUCAGAGUGGUCAUUUUGUGGUCUUUUGACUGAUUGGAGGAGGUUUCAUUUGGAGGCCCAGGGGUGGGGGGUGAUUAUGUUAUAAAGGCUCGGGUGGGAGUAUUAAAGAGAAGCUGGUGAAAAAACAUAAGAAGAAGUUUCAGUGCCCAUAACGAUGGACACUAAGUUGUGUCUAUUACUCAUCCUUGGUGCACAUUUACUGACAGCAAACACUGAGGUAGUUGAGGAAGACAGUGGAGAAGGACAGCUACCCGUAUGCCCAUGUAAGUGACCAAUUCACAACAUGUUGAUUCUCAUCUAACUAACCCUUAGGUCAGCUAGUUGUGACUUGUCUGUAACCAAUCAGGAUUAGUUUCUUUAGUCUGGCCUACUGUGCUACUAUUGACUGCAGAAGAUAGCAGCGGUGAACCCUGGUACAUGAACCUUGUGUAUG